UACGUAGGGUGCGAGCGUUAAUCGGAAUUACUGGGCGUAAAGCGUGCGCAGGCGGUUUGUUAAGACAGAUGUGAAAUCCCCGGGCUUAACCUGGGAACUGCAUUUGUGACUGGCAAGCUAGAGUAUGGCAGAGGGGGGUAGAAUUCCACGUGUAGCAGUGAAAUGCGUAGAUAUGUGGAGGAACACCGAUGGCGAAGGCAGCCCCCUGGGUCAAGACUGACGCUCAUGCACGAAAGCGUGGGGAGCAAACAGG
RNAcentral lists this ribosomal RNA (253 nucleotides) under uncultured bacterium. RNAcentral's name for it is "partial 16S ribosomal RNA". It matches the Rfam family "Bacterial small subunit ribosomal RNA", at positions 524 to 776 of the family's 1533-position model. The record is from RNAcentral.